CGUUCCCAUACCGAACACGGAAGUUAAGCUCUUCAGCGCCGAUGGUAGUUGGGGGUCUCCCCCUGCAAGAGUAGGACAUCGCUGGGC
RNAcentral lists this ribosomal RNA (87 nucleotides) under Psychrobacillus faecigallinarum. The record is from RNAcentral. Lineage: Bacteria; Bacillati; Bacillota; Bacilli; Caryophanales; Bacillaceae.